This 253-nucleotide ribosomal RNA is filed under the name uncultured bacterium. Its description in RNAcentral is "partial 16S ribosomal RNA". It matches the Rfam family "Bacterial small subunit ribosomal RNA", at positions 524 to 776 of the family's 1533-position model. The record is from RNAcentral.
UACGUAGGGUGCGAGCGUUAAUCGGAAUUACUGGGCGUAAAGCGUGCGCAGGCGGCUUUGCAAGACAGAUGUGAAAUCCCCGGGCUCAACCUGGGAACUGCAUUUGUGACUGCAAGGCUAGAGUACGGCAGAGGGGGAUGGAAUUCCGCGUGUAGCAGCGAAAUGCGUAGAUAUGCGGAGGAACACCAAUGGCGAAGGCAAUCCCCUGGGCCUGUACUGACGCUCAUGCACGAAAGCGUGGGGAGCAAACAGG